GGUGGGAGGUGCUGCCACAUCCCUGCCAGGAAGCAGAAUUUUCAGUCUCCUGGGUCUCAGACACUCUGUAUUUUUGUGGGCUCCUAAGAGAUAUUUGCCUCCUGAAGACCAUGAAGAUAUUUACAAGAAGAAUUUCUAGAAGAAGGUGGUUAAAUUUGACUUGACAAAGAUGGGAGGAAUCAGCGGGAGACAAAAUGAGUGUUUCUUCUGCGAAGCCCAAAACCUUUGUGCCUGCCUGUUUUUUCUUCGUGAUCCAGUGUCUUCCUCUUGUUCCCAGGUGUUCUGAAGUUUCACUCUCCACCCUUAGUCCCCGAUUCCAGAGGUGUUUGAUGCUGCCCUGCCUGAGAGUUUUGAGGAUUCCGUCGCAUAACUCAGCAGGGAAUCAGUAUGACGAGCAGGAGAAACAAUUCACCUAAAAGUCCUGUGUGUAAACCUUUAUCCCAAAUGUGUGGCCACUCCGAUUGUGUCAUCUGUUCAUAAAACUAUCUUGCAUGUUUGCUUUGGGGACCAGCCUGUGCUGAAUCGAUGUCAAACGACUGGGACAGGCUGUGUGGUGACCGACGGCCGGGAGCAGGCCAAACCCAGCCUUCCAUCAGGCCACGGGCCAAGUUCGCAGCGCUGGACGGUGGCUGUCCCGUCCCAUGGGAACCUGGAUGCUGGCUCCCACAGGGCAGGCCCACUGGGGUCGUGACCUGAAGGCGGACAAGAACGGAACCCAGCCCCAUUCUCGGACUCCCACCUCCCGGUCAGCGGGGUAACAAGAUGCAGUUCCAUUCUGUGUCCUCUCACUCCUGGAGGCAGGGCUGCUCAGCCAGAGGUUUCAGGUCAAAUGUGUGGGGCUCAGGCCGAGGGCGCUCUGUCCCCGGGGCCGUGUCUGUGACCAGCCACCAGCCACGGGCCCUUCUGUCCACGGCACAAGGCCUGCUGAGGGGUUGUUAUGAAGCUUGAGGGCCCGUCACUCUGAAAGCAUGCUGCACCAGGCUAUGCCCCACGUGCGUGUUCAGCCCCUGCAUCCGACUCAGCCCUCGUGACUGGGGAAGGAUGAGGCACCCACCACGUGCUGCGUGCGGUUCAUCCUGAGUUAAACGUGUUGCCACGUGUUCCUUCGUGUUCUUUCUCUCGUGUGUCUUCUCUAGCGAUGACCUCGUCCAGGGUCAAGUUUGAUCUUUUUAUCGAGAUGUCAGUUGUUUUCUGCCUUCUUUGUUAAACUUCUCCCUAUAAAUACUCUUACCAGCCUGUCCUUGGUGUUUCACUGUUUCACGUGAAAACUUGGGAUUUGUACAUAUUCAAGCCUAAAUCUUUCCCUUGAUCACAUGACUGACCGUGUCAGACAUAGCACAGCCUUUCCCACCCACAAUCGUAUGAACGUUAACCUGUACUUUCUUCUCUACUUCAUGAUUUAUGUGCUAACAUUUACAUUCCUGAUCCCCAUGGAAUUUAGUCUAGAUAUAAGGUUUAAAGCACAAUUCUAGUUUUAUUUUACUACCAACUAUUCGGCCAUUUCCUGCUGUGCUAUGUGUGAAAAUAAACGCUUCUUCAUUCACUGAGCUGAGGUGUCACUUUAAUUCUACACCAAAUCCCCACAUAUUCUGGAGUAUCCUUCUAGACUUGUAUUCUAUUCCUUCAGUCUCUGUUGCUUCGGUGGGACCUUACAGCUUUAAUUAAACCCUUCUUAAAGUGUGUGACAGUGUAGCAUGGCCCUCACACCCUUCCAUUUCAGGUUACUUUUGAGAAGGUUAGCAUGUUUAUUCUUCCCAAUGAGCUGUAGAUUAAUUUUGUCACCGUCUCCUAAAAUUGCAUUAGGGAUUUUCUUUGAACUGUAUAAAAAUGUUACAGGUUCCUUUUAAAAAUGUAAGUCUUCAAAAUAUUUUAUGUCUUCUCCAUUUAUCCAGAUCUUCUUGAUGACAAUUUUUAUAUUUUCUUUAUAAAGGAACUUCACCCUAGCACUGUUAUCCCUAGGGAUUUUUCACUGUUACUGUGAAUAUGAUCGUUUUUAUUAUAUCUUAUGGUCACACAAGUCUCUUCAGUUUUCAAGCAGCUAGUAUUGUUUUCAAUGUUGACAGCCCUGUUUCUCUCCUUCCCUGUACACACACACCACCUGCUUUCUUCUCUUGCCUCUCGCUUUCUCUAAACCAGUCCUGCCAUUAUUCCGAGUUCACUGCUUCCAGGGCCAAAACGGCGACUAUGACAUCAUCUGUGGGGUUCAAACUAAUGUUCCCUAUCAAGAUGGAAAGCUGUCUUUAUAAUUUUAAUGAAUUAUGAGUUUCAAUUUUAUUAAAUGUUCCUUUGGUUGCUGUCAAGAUAAUCAUAGGUUGUGAAUUCUAUAAAUACAUUUUUAAAUAACAGACACCUUUUUUCCUGGAAUAAGACCAGCUUUGUCUUAAUGUAUAAUGUUUAUUUAUUAAUAUAGAUAAACUGGAUUUAUGUAUUAGUAUCUCUGCUGUCUUCCCACCGAAGAGCAGCUGGGUGGGCAGGCCCACAGUCAGAACAUGCUUCUGUCGUUAGCUGACCACGUCAUUCCUUUAUCUCCUAGAAUUUACUGUUGCAGAGAGGUCUGCCAGAUUUCUGUAAUCUGUUU
Molecule: long non-coding RNA, 2578 nt
Organism: Balaenoptera acutorostrata (minke whale)
Lineage: Eukaryota; Metazoa; Chordata; Mammalia; Artiodactyla; Balaenopteridae
Exons: 5
Source: RefSeq, a predicted model, not a curated record